Molecule: transfer RNA, 74 nt
Filed under: Crocosphaera watsonii WH 0003
Lineage: Bacteria; Bacillati; Cyanobacteriota; Cyanophyceae; Chroococcales; Aphanothecaceae
Description: tRNA-Arg
Source: RNAcentral
CGGGACUGGCCGGAUUUGAACCGGCGACCUAGCGCUUAGGAGGCGCUUGCUCUAUCCUGCUGAGCCACAGCCCC